AGAGUUUGAUCCUGGCUCAGGACGAACGCUGGCGGCGUGCUUAACACAUGCAAGUCGAGCGGAAAGGCCCUUCGGGGUACUCGAGCGGCGAACGGGUGAGUAACACGUGAGCAACCUGCCCUUAGCUUCGGGAUAGCUCCGGGAAACCGGAAUUAAUACCGAAUAUGACUGCGGCUGACAUCAGCCACGGUGGAAAGUUUUUCGGCUAGGGAUGGACUCGCGGCCUAUCAGCUAGUUGGUGAGGUAACGGCCCACCAAGGCGACGACGGGUAGCCGGCCUGAGAGGGCGACCGGCCACACUGGGACUGAGACACGGCCCAGACUCCUACGGGAGGCAGCAGUGGGGAAUAUUGCGCAAUGGGCGAAAGCCUGACGCAGCGACGCCGCGUGGGGGAUGAAGGCCUUCGGGUUGUAAA
Molecule: ribosomal RNA, 416 nt
Filed under: uncultured bacterium
Lineage: Bacteria
Description: bacterial SSU rRNA
Rfam family: Bacterial small subunit ribosomal RNA
Source: RNAcentral